RNAcentral lists this ribosomal RNA (440 nucleotides) under uncultured bacterium. Its description in RNAcentral is "partial 16S ribosomal RNA". It matches the Rfam family "Bacterial small subunit ribosomal RNA", at positions 338 to 795 of the family's 1533-position model. The record is from RNAcentral.
CCUACGGGAGGCAGCAGUAGGGAAUAUUGCUCAAUGGGGGAAACCCUGAAGCAGCAACGCCGCGUGGAGGAUGAAGGUUUUCGGAUUGUAAACUCCUUUUGUUAGAGAAGAUAAUGACGGUAUCUAACGAAUAAGCACCGGCUAACUCCGUGCCAGCAGCCGCGGUAAUACGGAGGGUGCAAGCGUUACUCGGAAUCACUGGGCGUAAGGAGCGCGUAGGCGGGAUAGCAAGUCAGAUGUGAAAGCCUAUGGCUUAACCAUAGAACUGCAUUUGAAACUGUUAUUCUAGAGUAUGGGAGAGGUAGGUGGAAUGCGUGGUGUAGGGGUAAAAUCCGUAGAGAUCAAGAGGAAUACUCAUUGCGAAGGCGACCUGCUAGAACAUAACUGACGCUGAUGCGCGAAAGCGUGGGGAGCAAACAGGAUUAGAUACCCUUGUAGUC